UACGGAGGGGGCUAGCGUUGUUCGGAAUUACUGGGCGUAAAGCGCGCGUAGGCGGACCUGCAAGUCGGGGGUGAAAGCCCGAGGCUCAACCUCGGAACUGCCUUCGAUACUGCGGGUCUCGAGUCCGGGAGAGGUGAGUGGAAUUCCUAGUGUAGAGGUGAAAUUCGUAGAUAUUAGGAAGAAACACCAGUGGCGAAGGCGGCCCUCUGGGCCGGGCCUGACGCUGAGACGCGAGGGCGUGGGGGAGCGAAACGGG
This 256-nucleotide ribosomal RNA is filed under the name uncultured bacterium. RNAcentral describes it as "partial 16S ribosomal RNA". It matches the Rfam family "Bacterial small subunit ribosomal RNA", at positions 524 to 777 of the family's 1533-position model. The record is from RNAcentral.